Molecule: non-coding RNA, 324 nt
Organism: Vicia faba (fava bean)
Lineage: Eukaryota; Viridiplantae; Streptophyta; Magnoliopsida; Fabales; Fabaceae
Source: the annotation of a GenBank genome assembly
AUGUGGGAGCAUGUCGUCAAAUGGAGGAAGGCUAUGAGGAUAAAUGUUCUGCAAUUUUCGAGGAAAGUCAUAAGGAUGUGUCUUUCCCAACCACAAAGCAACUUAGAGCUGUAUGAUAUGGACACAAGAAAAUCUUAUCACUGCGAGCUCAAAGAAAGGGAAGGAAAGUUGGAGAAAUUUCUUGCUCAAGGAAGGUACGAAUUUGAUGCAGACAGAAGGCUCAAGAGUGACGACAAAUUGAAUUUUUUCCUUAGAUAUCCUCCUGCCACCAGAUUGUUAGUCUGUGUGGAUAACCGAUCUGAUUUAAUGAGGAUGGGGGUGUGA